Molecule: ribosomal RNA, 253 nt
Filed under: uncultured bacterium
Lineage: Bacteria
Description: partial 16S ribosomal RNA
Rfam family: Bacterial small subunit ribosomal RNA
Source: RNAcentral
UACGGAGGGUGCAAGCGUUGUUCGGAUUUACUGGGCGUAAAGCGCGAGCAGGCGGGCAGGCAAGUCCUGUGUGCAAUCUUUCGGCUCAACCGGAAAACUGCAUGGGAAACUACCUGUCUUGAGUGCGAGAGAGGAUGGCGGAAUUCCUGGUGUAGCGGUGAAAUGCGUAGAUAUCAGGAGGAACACCGGUGGCGAAGGCGGCCAUCUGGCUCGACACUGACGCUCAUUCGCGAAGGUCGGGGGAGCAAACAGG